Molecule: long non-coding RNA, 367 nt
Organism: Callorhinus ursinus (northern fur seal)
Lineage: Eukaryota; Metazoa; Chordata; Mammalia; Carnivora; Otariidae
Source: RefSeq, a predicted model, not a curated record
ACAGUGAUGGGAAAAGAUGUUCCAGACCCAGAGAGGCAAAUCCUUGGCUGUUGGAGCUCACUUCAGAGUUCAGGUGAAUGCAGAGUAUCAAGGAUGAAGAGGAAAGAAUGAUCUACCCUGGCUCUGGUUGCUGAACUACUCCAGGGAGUAAUCUCAAACAUCCAGUGUAAUCAGAUGCAAGUUGACUCAAGCAUAUGGAGGCUGUAUCACAUUGUGAGGAAGUAAGAACAAGCCAAGAGUAGCAUGGAGCAGAAGAGGCUUUAGGGUCAGAGAAACUAGCUAGAAUAGAGAAGGUGCAGAAUCUCAAAUCAUCCUGUCUCUGGAGGUACUGUUAUGAAUUCUAAUAUAAUCUAAGCCAGAAAUGAAA